This 2010-nucleotide long non-coding RNA is filed under the name Equus caballus (horse). Its description in RNAcentral is "lncRNA (ENSECAG00000049038.1)". Lineage: Eukaryota; Metazoa; Chordata; Mammalia; Perissodactyla; Equidae. The record is from RNAcentral.
GUGUGAGUGUGUGUGUGUGUGUGUGUGUAAGCCCCAGGUGAAUGUGCUUACUGUUACCCUCCGGACCUAAUCAGACCAGAAAGCCCUUUGCUGUCAGCAUUUUAUAACUGCAUUAGGAAAUUAAAACCUGUGUUAUUGUUUUUUUCAUUGACUCAUUGCCUCUCAUAGGCCCAUGCAUCUCCUUUGUACCGUAUUUAAACACACUGUAAUUCUCCCUAGAAUAUUAUAGCAAAAUGUCAGAAUCCUGCAGCCUGACGAAACUCUUAGAAAGGUUUUCAUCCAGAAUUGGUUUUUGUCCUCCGUGAGAUAGAUUGCGCCCUUCUCUCCACUAGAAUCUUGGCCUCACGUGAGAGAUCGAGGCACGGGUAGGACGCGGCCGGUGGCACGCUCGUUUCCCUGAGCAGCCCGGCUUCGCAGGGGGCCAGGGGCGGCCUGCCUGUGACGGGGGCCGCGUGAACUCACUCCGCUUGCUGUCGUGUUGCGAGCCAAGUGCCACUCGAAAGGUAGCGCUAGCUUGGCGGCGUCUUUCAGAAGCAUGUCCUCCUGUAGACUGAGCUGCUUUGUGACAGAUUUCCCUCUGGGAUGGAGAACUUGUUCCUUCUGUUUCAGAGGCGGAGAAGCGUGUGCUGUGUGUGCUCCUGCUACCGAAGGCGUGCAGCGACCGCAGCCGGUGAGUCCCUGACCGGGUGCCAGUCAUGGCGGUCACUCGCCUCCCUCCUUGAGAUCCAAAGCUGACUUGUGGAGUCUGUGUUUCUCGGAGCCUCCAGCCUGUUUGAGGGGACGCUGGUGCCACAUUUCCUUCUGCAGGGAAACGCACUGGUGGCCGCCACAUGAAAGCUUGCCUUCUUACUGGCUCCCCUCCCAUCACAAUGCUCUUGUCUCCCAUCGUGCCAUUCGCGGAGGGACAUCUGAUGUGUCCCCACUUCAAAAUGGAAUGUGGUGCCCAUGUCUCAGCCUGUCGGACAAAGGAGGACACAUCCGUCCAACUGUCACCUCUGGCUGGCUGCUGUGACUUGGAGCGCGCAACCUCAGACUUGAGAAAGACAGCCGUGCUCCCUGCCCAGUGCGGUCCCACCAGCAAAUGCCGUGUGCAGUGUCCCCUGGAGGGACGGUGGCCAGUGACUCUUCUCUACAGGAGAGAGCCGCUCACAAGGGGAUAGGGGAAAACCCUCAAGCACGUACCCAGCCAGGAAGCGAAUGUGACUUCCAGGGAGGUGGGCCCAGCCUUGGCUCCCUCUGUCCCCGCUGCCAUCCCGGGGCUGGGCAUCUUGGGUUGAUGGGGUGCAGGGGCUGGAGAAGGAAGCCGGCCCCUAUUUGGGGCACCCUUCCUGGCCCCCACCCCACCCUGGCCUCCCUGAGCACCUUCCAAGAUGCAGACACCUCCCAGGGGCUGUGAUUGUCCCCAUGCCACCACCUCAGACUCUGCACCCUUGCCCGGGGUGAGUCCUCGGCAUGGCCACGGUCCAGGGCGCUGCCUCCCAGGAGACAGCUUGGCCCCAUGGAGCCUGACCCCGGCCCCAUGUUGCAGGCUUCUCUUCUCGCAGCACUGAGGUUAUUUACCUCCUGGCUUCUCUGUGCAGGUGCACUCUGGGAAACUCCGUUCCAUCCCCCAAGCUCCAGAAGAGCAGCGUGUCGCUGUGACCGGCAGUCCCUUUGUCUCUUACAUGGGCGCAGCAGGCUGGCUGUGAGCGGUGAUGCUACAGGGCCCUGGGGACAGAAGCUGCACCUACCUCACCCCCACAGGCCCCCUUCUUGAAGGGUCUGGGCGAUGUCUUUUCUGUUAGCGCCUCCGAAUUCGCGGCCUGCUGCCAACAGAUGAGGAGAGCGUGUGAGUGAAGAAGAAAGCGUCGGCUUCUCUGUUCUGCAUGCAAAUCCCCAAGGCUGACCGAGGAGAGGUGGCAAAGAGGACAGGAGUGAAAACGCCAAGACUGGGAAUUUGGCCGCUUCUAGACCUCACCCCGGUAAUCUGUUCAAGAGGUCGACAAGGAUUCCCGGAGCUCUAGUGAGAAC